GAUCCUGGCUCAGAUUGAACGCUGGCGGAAUGCUUUACACAUGCAAGUCGAACGGUAGAGGGGGCAACCCUUGAGAGUGGCGAACGGGUGAGUAAUAUAUCGGAACGUGCCCAGUCGUGGGGGAUAACGUAGCGAAAGUUACGCUAAUACCGCAUACGAUCUAAGGAUGAAAGCGGGGGGACCGUAAGGCCUCGCGCGAUUGGAGCGGCCGAUAUCAGAUUAGCUAGAUGGUAAGGUAACGGCUUACCAUGGCGACGAUGGGUAGGGGUCCUGAGAGGGAGAUCCCCCACACUGGUACUGAGACACGGACCAGACUCCUACGGGAGGCAGCAGUGAGGAAUAUUGGACAAUGGGCGCAAGCCUGAUCCAGCCAUGCCGCGUGCAGGAUGACGGUCCUAUGGAUUGUAAACUGCUUUUGUACAGGAAGAAACACUCCCUCGUGAGGGAGCUUGACGGUACUGUAAGAAUAAGGAUCGGCUAACUACGUG
RNAcentral lists this ribosomal RNA (488 nucleotides) under uncultured bacterium. RNAcentral's name for it is "bacterial SSU rRNA". It matches the Rfam family "Bacterial small subunit ribosomal RNA", at positions 15 to 507 of the family's 1533-position model. The record is from RNAcentral.